GAGAAAUGAGACUCAGUGUUCAAUAGAUCCAUAGAGUGAUCAUAGUUAACAAUAAUCUGUUUUAUAUUUCAAAAUACUUAGGAGCAAAUAAUCUGAAUGUUCCCAGCAUAAAGAAAGGAAAAAUGCUUAAGGUGAUGGAUAUCACAAUUACUGAUUUGAUCACAUUAUUUGAAUAUAUGAAAAUAUCACAUGUACCUAGAAGACACAUACAUCCGAGUACACUUCUUCUUCUUACAUAUUAAAAAGUUAACUGUAAAACAGCCUCAGGCAGGUCUCUCAGGAAGUGUUCCAGAAGAAGGCCUUUUGUCCUAAGAGAUGACAGCUUCAUGCAUGUUAUUGCCCCUGAAGACCUUUCAGCAGGACAGGCUGUGGAGGCAGAAGACAGUGAUGUGGAUGAUCCUGAGCCUGGGUGGGCCUACGGGUUGGUCAUUUAUGAAGACUACAGAAAAGGAUUUCUCAGGGGGAACUGUUGAAUGG
Molecule: long non-coding RNA, 477 nt
Filed under: Callithrix jacchus (white-tufted-ear marmoset)
Lineage: Eukaryota; Metazoa; Chordata; Mammalia; Primates; Cebidae
Description: lncRNA (ENSCJAG00000064238.2)
Source: RNAcentral